Long non-coding RNA from Prionailurus viverrinus (fishing cat), 1544 nucleotides. RefSeq lists it as uncharacterized. The record is from RefSeq and is a predicted model, not a curated record. NCBI's taxonomy places the organism in Eukaryota, Metazoa, Chordata, Mammalia, Carnivora, Felidae. The transcript has 2 exons.
GGAGGGCGCGCCUCUCCUUCCGCUUCCCCUCGGCUGCGCGUGUGCAGGAAGGGAGACCGUCUGGCGGGAGAGGCUUUUUGCUGGAUGGCGAGAGCUGGGGCCCCUGUGACUUUGGUUCUCACGUGUGGGUGGAGGUGUUUGUGGACGAUUUCGGAUGGCCAAUCUGGAAAAGAAGCGCCCAACAUGAUGACAAUGGGGUCAUCCCCAUUCUGGCAACAGCCAGAAACAGGUGCUGGCAAUGCGUCAGAGUGGAGACCAGUGGGUGCAACCCCUCAAGCCAGAGAGAUCAACAGGAUAAAUGAGAGAGUGCGUGCACAUGGGAGGAAGAAUGGGUGGGUCCACACUGUCACCAGAAUGACCUGAUCUCAAUAGCUCAGAUACGUGCACGCGCACGUGGGGCAGAGUGCAUACGAAAUACCGUUAUGUCGCUUUCCCAAUGACAGGAGAGAAGGGCUGGUUACAAUGACACUGGGAAUGAAGGUAACAGCCGAGAUGGGAUGAACUGGGGCACGAACACAAGGAAGGAAAACGGGGAAAGCUCCCUGAAAAGAAAUAUAAAUAAAUAAAGCAGUAAGUCAUGUUCACUAAUAGGAACACGGGCCACACACAGACCGUGACAGGGCGUGUCCUUUGGCUCUCAAGUGGGAAUCCCGUGUCUCAGCUCUUUUCUUUCAGUGGGGGGCUGGCUGGUAACUUUGGUUUGUCUGUGUUUUGGUAAUGAUUGCUGCCGGGGGGUGACUACUGUUCUCAGACAAGAAGCAUAAACAAGGCCAAAGUCCCCUUAGAGUUUAAACUGAAGUAUUACAACACAGUUUUCAAAUGAAAGUGCUUUGGACUCUUGGCUAUUUGUGGGAGAGGGUGCGGAGAGGUUAAAUGAAAGGAAACCCAGCAACAAAAACGUACAGCAUACGUUGACUAUAUCCAAUUACAAAACGCAAAACGCUUGUUUUUUUUCUCAAUAGUUAACAUAUAUAUGCUUUUACAUAUAUACAUAGUAUACUCCUCAAGGCUCUCUCCCGGCCUCCCCUGUACACUGUGCCACUUAACUCGUUUCCAUUUUCCUUUAUUUCAGCCUGGUGAAAAUUUUCUCAAGUCGUGCCGUUGCAACUAAGAACAGAGCAUUCCCUAGAUGAAACUCAACACGCGUAUGCCGAAAAGCAUGAGGUUUUGCUCCAGGAGCAUCGGAAAAGCGCUCAGACGAUGAGCAAGGAAGCCCUGCGAAUGCCCUGCUUGUGUGCUACUGGCUGCUUCCUCGGGGCCGUGGGGUCCCUGGCGGAGCGGCCGGCAACUUACUGCUCAGAGGUGGCCCGGGGCGGGGCGCGGGGGGUGGGGUGGGGGGGGACAACCGUGCGGUCUCCCCUCCAACAACAACAAACCCAAAACAACGAAAUUUGGAGAUGCAGUGGGACAUUCUUUCACAAAGUAGCUUCUAUCAGUCCUGUUUGAUUUUCUUUAAUAAGUCUGUUCUUUUCAAAUGACUUAAUGAUUGUCAGAAUUUUACCGAGGGCCAAGUGUACUGUGAUCUCAGUGAGUUAUGGUGUUUU